This 102-nucleotide long non-coding RNA is filed under the name Carlito syrichta (Philippine tarsier). RNAcentral's name for it is "Maternally expressed 3 conserved region 2 (ENSTSYG00000026145.1)". It matches the Rfam family "Maternally expressed 3 conserved region 2". From Rfam's summary of the family: MEG3 (maternally expressed 3) is a maternally expressed, imprinted noncoding RNA gene. Lineage: Eukaryota; Metazoa; Chordata; Mammalia; Primates; Tarsiidae. The record is from RNAcentral.
AUGUCCUGUAUGGAAGGACCCUUUGGGAACCUCUCAGGAGUGGGGUCUGGGUCAGGGGCCUGGCCAGCACCUCACUGGUAAUUCCAAGGCACUAGUGGCUUC